CGGGGUGAGUAACACGUGGAUAACCUACCUAUAAGACUGGGAUAACUUCGGGAAACCGGAGCUAAUACCGGAUAAUAUUUUGAACCGCAUGGUUCAAAAGUGAAAGACGGUCUUGCUGUCACUUAUAGAUGGAUCCGCGCUGCAUUAGCUAGUUGGUAAGGUAACGGCUUACCAAGGCAACGAUGCAUAGCCGACCUGAGAGGGUGAUCGGCCACACUGGAACUGAGACACGGUCCAGACUCCUACGGGAGGCAGCAGAU
This 260-nucleotide ribosomal RNA is filed under the name uncultured Staphylococcus sp. RNAcentral's name for it is "partial 16S ribosomal RNA". It matches the Rfam family "Bacterial small subunit ribosomal RNA", at positions 100 to 354 of the family's 1533-position model. The record is from RNAcentral. Lineage: Bacteria; Bacillati; Bacillota; Bacilli; Caryophanales; Staphylococcaceae.